RNAcentral lists this small RNA (145 nucleotides) under Flavobacterium weaverense. RNAcentral's name for it is "Flavo-1 RNA". It matches the Rfam family "Flavo-1 RNA". The record is from RNAcentral. Lineage: Bacteria; Pseudomonadati; Bacteroidota; Flavobacteriia; Flavobacteriales; Flavobacteriaceae.
UCAUAGCCCCGAUUGAAGUAAAAAUACAGCUGAAGAAAAUAAUAUUGUUUUCUUGCCUAAAAGAGCGACCAGCGGAAGCUCCUUUUAGUCAAUUGAAAACAAAUUAUUUUCUUCAGCUGUAUUGUAAUGUAAAGCGGGAAACAGC